GACGAACGCUGGCGGCGUGCCUAAUACAUGCAAGUCGAACGCUGAAGGAGGAGCUUGCUUCUCUGGAUGAGUUGCGAACGGGUGAGUAACGCGUAGGUAACCUGCCUGGUAGCGGGGGAUAACUAUUGGAAACGAUAGCUAAUACCGCAUAAUAGUAGAUGUUGCAUGACAUUUGCUUAAAAGGUGCAAUUGCAUCACUACCAGAUGGACCUGCGUUGUAUUAGCUAGUUGGCGGGGUAACGGCUCACCAAGGCGACGAUACAUAGCCGACCUGAGAGGGUGAUCGGCCACACUGGGACUGAGACACGGCCCAGACUCCUACGGGAGGCAGCAGUAGGGAAUCUUCGGCAAUGGACGGAAGGCUGACCGAGCAACGCCGCGUGAGUGAAGAAGGGUUUCGGAUCGUAAAGCUCGGUUGUAAGAGAAGAACGAGUGUGAGAGUGGAAAGUUCACACUGUGACGGUAGCUUACCAGAAAGGGACGGCUAACUACGUG
RNAcentral lists this ribosomal RNA (495 nucleotides) under uncultured bacterium. RNAcentral's name for it is "partial 16S ribosomal RNA". It matches the Rfam family "Bacterial small subunit ribosomal RNA", at positions 28 to 507 of the family's 1533-position model. The record is from RNAcentral.